This is a transfer RNA of Camelus ferus (Wild Bactrian camel), 72 nucleotides long. It matches the Rfam family "tRNA". From Rfam's summary of the family: Transfer RNA (tRNA) molecules are approximately 80 nucleotides in length. The record is from Rfam. NCBI's taxonomy places the organism in Eukaryota, Metazoa, Chordata, Mammalia, Artiodactyla, Camelidae.
GAGGGUAGAGCUCAGUGGUAGAGUGCAUGCUUAGCAUGCACAAGGUCCUGGGUUCAAUCCCCAGUACCUCCA